RNAcentral lists this ribosomal RNA (586 nucleotides) under uncultured Actinomycetes bacterium. RNAcentral's name for it is "bacterial SSU rRNA". It matches the Rfam family "Bacterial small subunit ribosomal RNA", at positions 338 to 940 of the family's 1533-position model. Lineage: Bacteria; Bacillati; Actinomycetota; Actinomycetes. The record is from RNAcentral.
CCUACGGGAGGCAGCAGUGGGGAAUCUUGCGCAAUGGGCGAAAGCCUGACGCAGCAACGCCGCGUGCGGGAAGAAGGCUUUCGGGCUGUAAACCGCUUUCAGCAGGAACGAAAAUGACGGUACCUGCAGAAGAAGGAGCGGCCAACUAUGUGCCAGCAGCCGCGGUGAUACAUAGGCUUCAAGCGUUGUCCGGAUUUAUUGGGCGUAAAGAGUUCGUAGGCGGUCGAGUAAGUCGGGUGUGAAAAUUCUGGGCUCAACCCAGAGACGCCACCCGAUACUGCUUAACUUGAGUUCGAUAGGGGAGUGGGGAAUUCCUAGUGUAGCGGCGAAAUGCGCAGAUAUUAGGAGGAACACCGGUGGCGAAGGCGCCACUCUGGAUCGACACUGACGCUGAGGAACGAAAGCAUGGGUAGCAAACAGGAUUAGAUACCCUGGUAGUCCAUGCGGUAAACGGUGGGCACUAGGUGUGGGUUUCUAUUAACGAAAUCCGCGCCGUCGCUAACGCAUUAAGUGCCCCGCCUGGGGAGUACGGUCGCAAGACUAAAACUCAAAGGAAUGACGGAAUCGUCGACUGCAGGCCGAGGCC